RNAcentral lists this long non-coding RNA (449 nucleotides) under Homo sapiens (human). RNAcentral describes it as "non-protein coding lnc-XRN2-7:1". Lineage: Eukaryota; Metazoa; Chordata; Mammalia; Primates; Hominidae. The record is from RNAcentral.
CUGGGAGGUGGAGCUUGCAGUGAGAAACUCAAAUUCUAAACAAUAACAAUAUGAGGAAGGGAGUGUUGAGUAGUAUUCAAUGGAUAAAGUAUGCUAAAGUCAUCGUGGUCUGUAGGAAAUGAGACAUAUUGAAUAAUUGUUGGAAAAAAACGGACAGAUAAUUGUGCAUGUUAAUAUCUGAAAGGCUACCAUUAAAAGAAUAAAGCUUUUGACCAGGUGUGGUGGCUCAUGCCUGUAAUCCCAGCACUUUGGGAGGCCAAGGCAGGUGGAUCACUUGAGGUCAGGAGUUCAAGACCAGCCUGGCCAACACAGUGAAACCCUGUUUCUACUAAAAAAAUACAAAAAUUAGCUGGUCGUGGUGGUGCACGCCUGUAAUCCCAGCUACUCGGGAGGCUGAGGCACAAGAAUCCUUUGAACCCGGGAGAUGGAGGCUGCAGUGAGCUGAGAUC